GACGAACGCUGGCGGCGUGCCUAAUACAUGCAAGUUGAGCGAUGAAGAUUGGUGCUUGCACCAAUUUGAAGAGCAGCGAACGGGUGAGUAACGCGUGGGGAAUCUGCCUUUGAGCGGGGGACAACAUUUGGAAACGAAUGCUAAUACCGCAUAACAACUUUAAACAUAAGUUUUAAGUUUGAAAGAUGCAAUUGCAUCACUCAAAGAUGAUCCCGCGUUGUAUUAGCUAGUUGGUGAGGUAAAGGCUCACCAAGGCGAUGUUACAUAGCCGACCUGAGAGGGUGAUCGGCCACAUUGGGACUGAGACACGGCCCAAACUCCUACGGGAGGCAGCAGUAGGGAAUCUUCGGCAAUGGACGAAAGUCUGACCGAGCAACGCCGCGUGAGUGAAGAAGGUUUUCGGAUCGUAAAACUCUGUUGGUAGAGAAGAACGUUGGUGAGAGUGGAAAGCUCAUCAAGUGACGGUAACUACCCAGAAAGGGACGGCUAACUACGUG
This 497-nucleotide ribosomal RNA is filed under the name uncultured bacterium. RNAcentral describes it as "partial 16S ribosomal RNA". It matches the Rfam family "Bacterial small subunit ribosomal RNA", at positions 28 to 507 of the family's 1533-position model. The record is from RNAcentral.